AGUCAAUAGAUACCCAGGUAGUCCACGCCGUAAACGAUGUCGACUUGGAGGUUGUGCCCUUGAGGCGUGGCUUCCGGAGCUAAACGCGUUAAGUCGACCGCCUGGGGAGUACGGCCGCAAGGUUAAAACUCAAAUGAAUUGACGGGGGCCCGCACAAGCGGUGGAGCAUGUGGUUUAAUUCGAUGCAACGCGAAGAACCUUACCUACUCUUGACAUCCAGAGAACUUAGCAGAGAUGCUUUGGUGCCUUCGGGAACUCUGAGACAGGUGCUGCAUGGCUGUCGUCAGCUCGUGUUGUGAAAUGUUGGGUUAAGUCCCGCAACGAGCGCAACCCUUAUCCUUUGUUGCCAGCGGUUAGGCCGGGAACUCAAAGGAGACUGCCAGUGAUAAACUGGAGGAAGGUGGGGAUGACGUCAAGUCAUCAUGGCCCUUACGAGUAGGGCUAC
This 445-nucleotide ribosomal RNA is filed under the name uncultured bacterium. RNAcentral's name for it is "bacterial SSU rRNA". It matches the Rfam family "Bacterial small subunit ribosomal RNA", at positions 775 to 1217 of the family's 1533-position model. The record is from RNAcentral.